This 73-nucleotide transfer RNA is filed under the name Candidatus Omnitrophota bacterium. RNAcentral's name for it is "Candidatus Omnitrophica bacterium tRNA-Thr". It matches the Rfam family "tRNA". From Rfam's summary of the family: Transfer RNA (tRNA) molecules are approximately 80 nucleotides in length. Lineage: Bacteria; Pseudomonadati; Candidatus Omnitrophota. The record is from RNAcentral.
GCUGGCGUAGCUCAGUUGGCAGAGCAGCGGUUUUGUAAACCGCGGGUCGUCCGUUCAAUUCGGAUCGCCAGCU